This is a long non-coding RNA of Theobroma umbraticum, 493 nucleotides long. RefSeq lists it as uncharacterized. Lineage: Eukaryota; Viridiplantae; Streptophyta; Magnoliopsida; Malvales; Malvaceae. The record is from RefSeq and is a predicted model, not a curated record.
GGACAUCAAGUCCUUUCUCCAUUUUCUUGUAUGUUUCUUUCUUUCCUCCUUCCUCCUCAUGAAGUUUCUUCCCUUUUUCCUCCCCCAUAACCGAACUUAAGAAGGGUUAGUGCUUUGGCUCAAGAUUUUAUGAUAAGUAAUCAGUUCUAGUGCCUUAUUCAGCAUCUCGAGGCUGGCUACAACCUAGGUUCACUCGCAAGUCUGGAAUGCUGGUAGCGAUCGAGGGAAGAGGUCAUUACAAAUAAUAGGGCUUUUGAUGGCAUGACUGAUUAUAAAUGGACAUUUUUUCUCAAUGGAUCACAUCUGUUUCAUAUUUCUUGAUGAGAACAUCUAGUUAUGAUCAAUUUUAACUAAAAACAAAAAUGAUUUUGUUUUAAAAUCAUUUAUAAGAUUAUAAAACCAUUUAAAGUAAGUUACAAGGCUUGCAAAGGCAUAAGUCACUACAAAUGGACUUUUCAUGUCAAUGUAUGAUUUUUGCUUCACAUUUCAUGAU